CCUACGGGAGGCAGCAGUGAGGAAUAUUGGUCAAUGGCCGAGAGGCUGAACCAGCCAAGUCGCGUGAGGGAAGACGGCCCUACGGGUUGUAAACCUCUUUUGUCGGGGAGCAAAGCGAACCACGUGUGGCUCAUUGAGAGUACCCGAAGAAAAAGCAUCGGCUAACUCCGUGCCAGCAGCCGCGGUAAUACGGAGGAUGCGAGCGUUCUCCGGAUUUAUUGGGGUUAAGGGGUGCGCAGGCGGAGGUGCAAGUCAGCGGUCAAAUUGCGGGGCUCAACCCCGUAAUGCCGUUGAAACUGCAUCCCUGGAGCGGGCGAGAAGUAUGCGGAAUGCGUGGUGUAGCGGUGAAAUGCAUAGAUAUCACGCAGAACUCCGAUUGCGAAGGCAGCAUACCGGCGCGCAACUGACGCUCAUGCACGAAAGCGUGGGUAUCGAACAGGAUUAGAUACCCGAGUAGUC
This 459-nucleotide ribosomal RNA is filed under the name uncultured bacterium. Its description in RNAcentral is "partial 16S ribosomal RNA". It matches the Rfam family "Bacterial small subunit ribosomal RNA", at positions 338 to 795 of the family's 1533-position model. The record is from RNAcentral.